GGACGCAUAGUGUAAUGGAUAACACACACGCACACAGUCGACUACUGCUGAGAUCUGCGGUUCGAAUCCCAGUGUGUUCA
Molecule: non-coding RNA, 80 nt
Organism: Steccherinum ochraceum
Lineage: Eukaryota; Fungi; Basidiomycota; Agaricomycetes; Polyporales; Steccherinaceae
Source: the annotation of a GenBank genome assembly